AUUAUAUUUUAUUUAUAAUUAUUAUAAAGUUAAAAAAAAAAGACCAACUAACUAAUGCGGCCACAGCUGCGCUAAUCGGAUUUAGCUAAUGCAGUAAGGGUAUGUUUGGCAGGUGGUAUUGCAUUGUAUUAUCUUGUGGGCCCAGCAUUAGUUAAAAUAUACCUGUGUUUGGUGAUCAAAUGGAUUGCAUUGAGCAGCAUUAAAAUGCAGCUUUUGCUGCAUUAUCAAAACUCGCGCCCCCCUCAUGAUUAGGCUGUAUUACUGAUUUUUGUGUUUUAAAAGUCAGUAGCUUCCCCUUUUUUUAACUUUAUAAUAAUAGUAAUAAAUAAAUAAAAUUUUAAUUUAAUAUAAUAUUAUACAAUAU
RNAcentral lists this long non-coding RNA (364 nucleotides) under Citrus x clementina. RNAcentral's name for it is "Citrus clementina (C. clementina) long non-coding RNA (CCLE_LNC001752)". Lineage: Eukaryota; Viridiplantae; Streptophyta; Magnoliopsida; Sapindales; Rutaceae. The record is from RNAcentral.